AUUGAACGCUGGCGGCAGGCUUAACACAUGCAAGUCGAGCGGAGACUUCGGUCUUAGCGGCGAACGGGUGAGUAAUACCUAGGAAUCUGCCUAUUAGUGGGGGAUAACGAAUCGAAAGGUUCGCUAAUACCGCAUACGUCCUACGGGAGAAAGGGGGGGAUCUUCGGACCUCUCGCUAAUAGAUGAGCCUAGGCCGGAUUAGCUAGUUGGUAGGGUAAAGGCCUACCAAGGCGACGAUCUGUAGCUGGUCUGAGAGGAUGGCCAGCCACACUGGAACUGAGACACGGUCCAGACUCCUACGGGAGGCAGCAGUGGGGAAUAUUGGACAAUGGGGGCAACCCUGAUCCAGCCAUGCCGCGUGUGUGAAGAAGGCCUCGGUUGUAAGGUACACUUUAAGCGAGGAGGAGGGUUUUAGGUUUAAGUU
This 424-nucleotide ribosomal RNA is filed under the name uncultured bacterium. Its description in RNAcentral is "bacterial SSU rRNA". It matches the Rfam family "Bacterial small subunit ribosomal RNA", at positions 30 to 469 of the family's 1533-position model. The record is from RNAcentral.